CGUAACAAGGUCUCCGUUGGUGAACCAGCGGAGGGAUCAUUACUGAGUUUACGCUCUACAACCCUUUGUGAACAUACCUAUAACUGUUGCUUCGGCGGGUAGGGUCUCCGUGACCCUCCCGGCCUCCCGCCCCCGGGCGGGUCGGCGCCCGCCGGAGGAUAACCAAACUCUGAUUUAACGACGUUUCUUCUGAGUGGUACAAGCAAAUAAUCAAAACUUUUAACAACGGAUCUCUUGGUUCUGGCAUCGAUGAAGAACGCAGCGAAAUGCGAUAAGUAAUGUGAAUUGCAGAAUUCAGUGAAUCAUCGAAUCUUUGAACGCACAUUGCGCCCGCCAGCAUUCUGGCGGGCAUGCCUGUUCGAGCGUCAUUUCAACCCUCAAGCUCUGCUUGGUGUUGGGGCCCUACAGCUGAUGUAGGCCCUCAAAGGUAGUGGCGGACCCUCCCGGAGCCUCCUUUGCGUAGUAACUUUACGUCUCGCACUGGGAUCCGGAGGGACUCUUGCCGUAAAACCCCCAAUUUUCCAAAGGUUGACCUCGGAUCAGGUAGGAANACCCGCUGAACUUAAGCAUAUCAAUAA
Molecule: ribosomal RNA, 578 nt
Filed under: Colletotrichum sp. BDS-2011
Lineage: Eukaryota; Fungi; Ascomycota; Sordariomycetes; Glomerellales; Glomerellaceae
Description: eukaryotic LSU rRNA
Rfam family: 5.8S ribosomal RNA (bases 215-368)
Source: RNAcentral